This 5452-nucleotide long non-coding RNA is filed under the name Triticum aestivum (bread wheat). RNAcentral describes it as "long non-coding RNA (TAES_LNC004623)". Lineage: Eukaryota; Viridiplantae; Streptophyta; Magnoliopsida; Poales; Poaceae. The record is from RNAcentral.
UUUUAUUUGUUUUACUUUGGGAACUAAAAUACUAGCACAGGCUGACAUGAGAAACAAGGAAAACUACAAGACAUCAACACAUAUAUGUUCAGCAACUAGUAUGAAAGAGAAGAAUUAAGAUCAAGGGACAUGAACAGAAGUACUUCACAUCACAAGCAUAUAUAUACUCACACGUACAUAGCUAACACAGGGACUAAGAAUUAAAGAGGUUCAAACAACUCACUUGACAGAGAGCACAAACAACACAAAAUAAUCACAAUAGGUAAUCAGAAUAUCAUGGGAAACUAACUGACAGAAAAUUCACAUAUAUUGAAAUAGUAAUUAUCAUGUCUCCACUCUAAAUGUUCACAGAAAUUACACACACACACAUAAACUAUUCUAGUUCUUGCAGAUCAACAGAAUACAUCCAGACAAGGACAAAUCCGAAUUUCACAGGAUCCCACUCACAUCUAAUACAUAGAUAUUUCAGAGAGGGAGAGAGAACAGUAGCAAGUGUUGGAGAAGGAGAAAGUGAUUCAGAAGAAGAAGCAGGGAGGUUUUCUUCAGAAAGGAACAGCAGCAGCGUGGAGGCUUGGAGAAGAAGCACUAGCAAGAGGUUGAGAGAGCAGCAGCAGGGACGAGGGAAGGAGUAGCGAGAGAAGUUGGGGAAGCAGCAGCAGCAGUGACAGAAGAAGAAGAAGCAUCAUCGAGGGAAGAAGAAGCAACAGCGAAGGGGUUCAGAGAAGAGGGAUGCAGCGAGCAGCAGAGAGAGAUAGGCGAAGGGAGUUGCAGCAAGGUAAGGGAAGAAGGACCAGACGCCCGUCUGGCGGGUCGCGCGAGUGGCGCUGGAGAUGGUGGUGGUGAUGCGGCGCUAGUGGCGGCGAUGUGGAUGGAUGAUGGCGGAUGGUGCAGCGGCGGGUGAUGGAGAUGGCGAGGAUGGGUGGCUGGGUGGCGCUGGUUGGCGCACCGCCGCGCCGGCCUGGCCGCGGCGGCGGCCGGUGGUGGAAAAGGCGGUUGAGGGAGAUGGAGCUGCCAGGCCUGAUCCAAAAAAUUGGUUGCGCUAGGGAUUUUGUUCCCCUUUUCUCAGCUGCCACUGUUGCACUUUGGCCCUCCUCUUCUCAACUUUCUACACAAGAAGAUCCAUUCUUCACUUAGUUCGCACCCCUGGAUACUUCUUCCUUCACAAUUUGGUCCCUCUUCUCUUCCUGCCCAAAGUCUUGUUCCUCAAUAUUCUUCUUUCCUGCUCUUGACUCUUCUCAUUAUCACGAAGUUUAUAGUGCCUUCUCGCACUUUUCUGCAAGAUAAACAAACGAAUAGUAAAUGAUACCCUUUUAUGAUUAUCAAGCAAGUAUUCAAUAUUUCACAGCAAGAAUUGAUGGCCAGAUCACAAUAAAUGGUAUAUUUGUGUGCCCAAAUUGUAUAUAUGAAAUGUGCUUAUCAAGUUCCCCCACACUUAAAUCUUUGCUUGUCCUCAAGCAAAGGAAUAUGACAAAGGCAAGAUAGUGAACAGUAAACUGACUAGAGAAUGUCAAGUGAAGUAGAUCUCUAAACAGUGCAUGCUUUGGACUUGGCUAGUGAAAAUUAAUGGUUAAGAGUGCUACAUAUCAAUAGGACACUAGUAAACUCGACCAUUUUAAACUAUUACAAUGAUAAAAGAAGAUCACAAGUUCAAAUGUUGAUUGUGCCAAAAGUUUCCUAAAGAGAGCCUGAUCCCGAGAAUAAAAGAAAGUUGUGAACCACUUAUUGAAUUUGAAAGAAAGACACAUAUUAUUUUAUUAGUCUCACCAAAGGAACAUACCACCGAUCCCGAGAACAUGGUAUACACCUGGCUCAACCAAGUAUUUUUUUUCUCCCCAAAGGAACAUACCACCGAUCCCGAGAACAUGGUAUACACCUGGUUCGACAAUUACAUUUUUAUUUAUUUAUUACUGUCCAAGCUACCAGAUUUCACAUGCCACCGAUCCAGGGAACAUGACAUGCUACUGUAGGUAGACCAGACUUAUUCAUUAUAAGAUAUACUUUUUUACUUUUCAAAUUAACAAAAACAAGAAUCAUCACUCAUCCAUGUCUGGUUCACAUACUACCGAUCCAGGGAACAUAGCAUGCUAAUCCAUAGUGGUAAGUGAUUGCUCUGAAUGGGAACACAAUAGGCACAAACUCAGCAUCUGACACUUAAUGAUCUAGGUGUAUCAAGGUAAAAGCAAAAAAUGAAUAAAUUUUCUAGUGUACUAUGGAUUUGAGCACUCAAAACUAAUAGUUUUCACUAAUUUUAGCAAAGCACGCAAUAUGUAGAUCACUAGUUUACAUGGCAUUCAACAAUCAGUUCGCAUAUUCUCAUCAAGCACCAUAUGUCAAAUAAAAUUCAGUGGGGCAACAUUUAAGAAAUGGCUUAAUAAGCAACCCAAAUAACAUUUGAUUUCAGCAUGUAUCAAUGAAUGAUAUACUCGGAAUGGGUCAUGAAACAGCUCACCGGGCACUAUGAAGUAGCACUCGCUUGAUCACUCUCUAAGCUGCUGCUCUUCUCCUUUGCUUCCUCAUGGAUGCUCCAGCUUCACUCUUCUUCGUGUGUGCCCCCUUGCUUCUCCUCAUCCCCAUGCUCUGAGUCCACCAGGGUCCCAAGGAAUGUCACCUCGAACCUGGUCAGCAUGUAGUGGAUCGUGCACAAGCAAAAACCUGAAAGAACUCUCAACAAAAGAGACAAUCCAAGUGGUAGGGAUAAUACCCUCCAAGUCGUCAAUCGAAUAUCCAAUUACAUAAGCAUAGCUAUAAAGCACAUGUUUAGGAUGGUAGAAAUCAGCAAGGUCAACACUAACAUGAGGAUGAAAUUUAUCAUUAAGCUCAAGACUAGCAUGGGAAUAAUAUGUUUCAUUAAGCAUAGGACUAGCAUAAGGAAAAUAAGUGUCAUCAUCAGGAAUGAGAGCAAUGCCACCAACAGUGUAUGUAUGAUCAUGUCCAAGCAAAUAAUUUUUCAAGUCUAGCUUGAUUGAUGGUAUAACGCAAUGGAAAGUAGCAGCAAAGAUCUCAUAAGGAAGCAUGUCAUCAAGAGGAUUGGAUAAACCUGCUAAAUCACGCUCCUGUAUGACGAUGGGCAAAUGCUUUUCUGGUUCUUCAUCUUCAAUCACAUCAACUUCUUUUGCUUCUUCAAGAGUAAUAGAUGAUGAGUCUUCAACUUGAUCACUUUGUUGUUCGAGCUCUGGAUCAUCUUGUUCCUUGUCUUCAAGUAUUUCUUCUUCAAUCUGAGGUCUUUCUUCCUCUGGACUCUUUCUAUCUUGCUCAGCUGGAUGUGACGGUAUUGGAACCUCACAUGUAUCAAGGGGAAUCUUGGCAACACUCAGCUCAAGGAGGGAGGAGAUAGUACUGCCAGCGCUGAUGUUCUUCUCAAUCUUCCUUACUUCUUCCACUAGCUCUUUUCCACUCUUGAUCUUCUUCAUUUCCUCUAGUAUCACCAGCCUAAUUGGAUCAUCUUCGGCACUCCAAGUGAACUCGAGACUAAGCAAUGUGAGCUUGUCUAUAUCAUCAAAAUCAUCUUGUGUGGGCACUUGUGUUGAAGGUGUUGGUUGACCAAAUGGAGGACCAUUUAACUCCAUUGGCAACAUCUCCUGGUGUUGAGGUAUAUGAGUAGGAGAUGAAUACAAUUGCUGUGGUGCAUAGUUGUUGCUCUCCUCUUCAUACCUAAAUCCCUGCAUUGGAUAACUAGAGGCAAACGAUGAGAUCUCAGGGUUGUUGCUCCUAUAUGACAUAUUCUGGUUUUCAGGCCACCCAUAUGAGUAAUUGUUUUGGUAUGAGCUAGGCUAUGGGGCGAAGCUCAUGCCAUAACAAUCGGGAGGGUGAGAGUAACCAUGCUGACAUUCAGCGGGUGAAUGGCCCUGAAAUCCACAAAUAUGGCAUGUAGGAGCAACAUAAGGAUGACCUCUAGAAUAAGGAUCAUAAGAGCUAGGCCUAUCCUCAAAAACUACUUCUCGCUGCCGAGUUAAAUCAUCUAAUCGAUGGGAAAUCUUACUUAUCAGGUCUUGAAUACUUUCCGUGUUGUUUGUAGUGUUGCUCGCAUAAGCAUGAUGAUCUGAAUAGUAAGCCAUAUCUGAGAAGAUGCAAUAACCUGCAGAAUGACCAAGCAAAGAAAGAGAAAAUAACUUGAACAAGGGUUAGGGGUUAGAGAUAUAUCACAUAUAUAUAGCACAAAGGGAAAAACAAGAAAACCCUAGUCUAUAACCUCACAGAAUCGCUCGACGCUAGUCCCCGGCAACGGCGCCAAAAUGAUCAUUUGUAAAAUAGCGUGGUUUUUACGCCCCAAACUACGGAUGUCGUGUUCUCCACAGGUACCUAGAACUUCGAAGCACACAUUCGAAACAUUCAGAACAACUGAACAGAUGAAGCAAACCGUAAUGACAACAAGUAGCCACUGGAACAAGGUAAAACAAAAUAAUAUGCAGCAAAGGUAAAGGGUUCAGAAAUAGGACUGUCUCUUUUUUAGUGGUUUUCUUGUGAUCAAACAGACAAGUAACACUAGCACAUGGAAGAUGGCUCAGACAUCACACACAACUCAUGCAACCAAUUAAAGUGACAGCAGCUCACAGGGGAAUAACUACUAACUUAAUAUCCAGCAAAGGGUCACAACAAUUCAGCAAGGAUACAUGAGGAUUCAGCAAAGGUGUACAGGUAAUAGAGUAAAUUUCAGACCCAAUAGUGCAUAUAUUUAGAGAAUAGGAACAAGAGAAGAGAGAGUUCAGAGCCUAUGGGUCUUGAUGAUCUUCAAUUCGAAGCUGUAUAUGUUGCAGGCGAAGAAGAGUAGCAGCAGAGGCACGUUGGAGACGAUCUUCCGUGGAGCACCAGAAGGCCCGACGCCCCUGGCCUCGGUCGAUCCUCUCCCUCUCAGCAGCGAGGAGGAAGAGAGAAGGAGUGGCAGAGAUCGUCGGUCAGGGAGGUCGCAGCAGCAGGAGUUGGAGCUGAGCAGCGGUGGUCGAUCUUGAGGUUGGAGACGAGGAAGUGCAGCAGGUCAGCGUCGUCAUUGGAGAGGAGCGGUGGAUCGCCGGUAAGAUCGGGGCAGCUUCGUGGUGGAUCGGGCACCACCGCCAGUCUCCCGGCACCCUCUUCUCCCUCUCUCUCCUUCGAUCUGGUUCUUCUGCUGGUUCCCCUCAAUCCCCUGGUUCGAUCUGGUGGUAGGUGAGUAGCAUGGAGGACAGCGAGGAGGAGGAGAGAAAAAGGCAGUCGACCCUUGUGGUUUUCUUUCCUUCGACCCCCUCUACUCCUCUGCUCUCUCGUGGCCUCGCGCGUGGGAUUAGACAUGCGUCUGGUUGGUUGCGCUAGACCAGCCCCUUCUCACGCGCACAAGCAGACAUCUGCUCUUCUCUGUCUGACUAGGUGCACAAGUCCCUGGUUCUUUUCAGCUCUCCCCUUCUAGUUCUAUCUUUUCGCACAAGAUGAUCCCUAGCUUGAAGGUUGUAAACACUUUCGAUGAAGUUUGGGUGCCUAAACG